RNAcentral lists this ribosomal RNA (713 nucleotides) under Torresitrachia weaberana. RNAcentral's name for it is "partial 16S ribosomal RNA". The stretch from base 292 to 530 matches the Rfam family "Archaeal large subunit ribosomal RNA", at positions 1786 to 2143 of the family's 2987-position model. The record is from RNAcentral. Lineage: Eukaryota; Metazoa; Mollusca; Gastropoda; Stylommatophora; Camaenidae.
CACGAAACCGUGUGAGCUAAUUCGAUUUAUAUGUAUGUGGCAUAAUACUCUCUGAAACCGAAUUAGGGGUGAUAGGCCCUCAAAAACGGCAAUAUCUUGAAGUAAAUGAAAAAAAUUAAGUUUGUAGAUGAUUGCAAAGUUACAAGAUUUUGCAAAAUUUUCAAGAUAUGUUACUAUAGAAUGUAGAUUUAAAAGUCUGCUUAAUUCUCAAAGAAAUAUUAAAUUAUUGUAGUUAUUAUACUAGUUUACGGUAGUGCAACUAUUCUCUAAUCAUUAUGUUAAUAUGAGUACUUAGUAAGUAUUGAUAGUGAACUCGGCAAUAAAGCUUUCAACUGUUUAUCAAAAACAUAGCCACACGUUACAUGUGUGGUGUGUUCUGCUCAAUGAUAUUUAAAUAGCCGCAGUACUCUGACUGUGCAAAGGUAGCGUAAUCAUUUGUCUUUUAAUUGGAGUCCUGUAUGAAUGAAUGCAUGGGGGCUUACUUUACCAUAAAUAUAAAUCGAAAUUACUUAAAAGGUGCAAAAACCUUUACAUAAAUAAUAGACGAGAAGACCCUAGAAAUUUGAUUACUAGUUUUGUUGGGGCAACAUGAUAGAUAAACCUAUUAAAUGUAUAUGAAAUAAAUUUGUUUGAUGAAAUUACUCUAGGGAUAACAGCAUAAUUCUGUAUGAGUUUGUGACCUCGAUGUUGGACUAGGGAACUACAGCUUAAAA